RNAcentral lists this unclassified non-coding RNA (913 nucleotides) under Hevea brasiliensis (rubber tree). The record is from RNAcentral. Lineage: Eukaryota; Viridiplantae; Streptophyta; Magnoliopsida; Malpighiales; Euphorbiaceae.
GAAGGACCUCAGCAGCCUCACCUCGCCCUCGCCCACAAACUCUUCCUCCUCACCCACCCCGAAGUCGACGACAUCGAGAAGGUCCAACUCCGCGACGAUGUCUUCGCCGCCGUCAAAGCCGACAACAUGGCACCGCUGUACGAGUCGCUGGCGGCCAGAUCUGUGCUGGAGAUGGACGUCGGAGUGCUGGAUGCGAUGCGGAAGGAGAUCGAUGAGGAGGUGAAGAAGCUCGAUGAAAAGAUUGCUGAUGCUGAAGAGAACUUGGGCGAAAGUGAAGUGCGUGAAGCUCAUCUAGCUAAAUCUUUGUUCUACAUCAAGAUAGGUGACAAGGAGAAGGCCCUGGAGCAAUUGAAAGUUACAGAGGGUAAAACGGUUGCUGUUGGUCAGAAGAUGGAUUUGGUGUUUUACACGCUACAACUUGGAUUUUUCUAUAUGGACUUUGAUCUCAUCUCCAAAUCUAUAGAUAAGGCUAAAAAAUUAUUUGAGGAGGGAGGUGACUGGGAGAGGAAGAACCGGUUGAAAGUCUAUGAAGGCCUGUAUUGCAUGUCUACUAGGAAUUUUAAGAAAGCAACAGAUUUAUUUUUGGAUUCCAUUUCAACUUUCACCACAUAUGAGCUUUUUUCUUAUGAUACAUUUGUAUUCUACACUGUUCUGACAAGCCUGAUCUCUUUGGAAAGAGUCUACCUUAAACAAAAGGUGGUAGAUGCCCCAGAAAUCCUUGCAGUGAUAGGCAAAAUUCCUUUCUUAACUGAUUUUCUAAAUGCUCUUCAUGGAUGCCAAUACAAGUCAUUUUUUUCUCCUUUCUCGGGGUUAACUAACCAGAUAAAGUUGGAUCGUUAUCUGCAACCCCACUUUCGUUAUUACAUGAGGGAAGUUCGUGUUGUGGUUUAUUCUCAGUUCCUUGAAUCAUACA